CCUACGGGAGGCAGCAGUGGGGAAUUUUGCGCAAUGGGGGAAACCCUGACGCAGCAAUGCCGCGUGGAGGACGAAGGUCUUCAGAUUGUAAACUCCUUUUGCCGGUGAAAAAUCGCCGUGUGAAUAACACGGACUGAUGGUAACCGGUGAAUCAGCCACGGCUAACUUCGUGCCAGCAGCCGCGGUAAU
RNAcentral lists this ribosomal RNA (189 nucleotides) under uncultured bacterium. RNAcentral's name for it is "partial 16S ribosomal RNA". It matches the Rfam family "Bacterial small subunit ribosomal RNA", at positions 338 to 524 of the family's 1533-position model. The record is from RNAcentral.